Molecule: ribosomal RNA, 472 nt
Filed under: uncultured bacterium
Lineage: Bacteria
Description: SSU rRNA
Rfam family: Bacterial small subunit ribosomal RNA
Source: RNAcentral
AGGACGAACGCUGGCGGCGUGCUUAACACAUGCAAGUCGAGCGGAAAGGCCCUUCGGGGUACUCGAGCGGCGAACGGGUGAGUAACACGUGAGUAAUCUGCCCCUAGCUCUGGGAUAGCUCCGGGAAACCGGGAUUAAUACCAGAUACGACCACUUUAGACAUCUUCUGUGGUGGAAAGAACUUCGGCUAGGGAUGAACUCGCGGCCUAUCAGCUUGUUGGUGAGGUAACGGCUCACCAAGGCGACGACGGGUAGCCGGCCUGAGAGGGCGACCGGCCACACUGGGACUGAGACACGGCCCAGACUCCUACGGGAGGCAGCAGUGGGGAAUAUUGCGCAAUGGGCGAAAGCCUGACGCAGCGACGCCGCGUGGGGGAUGAAGGCCUUCGGGUUGUAAACCCUUUCAGCAGGGACGAAGCGAAAGUGACGGUACCUGCAGAAGAAGCGCGGCUAACUACGUGCCAGCAGCCGC